This 124-nucleotide small nuclear RNA is filed under the name Sinocyclocheilus grahami. Its description in RNAcentral is "U1 spliceosomal RNA (ENSSGRG00000020228.1)". It matches the Rfam family "U1 spliceosomal RNA". Rfam says of the family: U1 is a small nuclear RNA (snRNA) component of the spliceosome (involved in pre-mRNA splicing). The record is from Rfam by way of RNAcentral. Lineage: Eukaryota; Metazoa; Chordata; Actinopteri; Cypriniformes; Cyprinidae.
AUACUUACCUGGCAGGGGAGACACCAUGAUCAAGAAGGUGGUUCACCCAGGGUGAGGCUCAGCCAUUGCACUCCGGUUGUGCUGACCCCUGCGAAUGCUGAAUCCCGAGACCUCGUCUACUGAC